RNAcentral lists this ribosomal RNA (493 nucleotides) under uncultured bacterium. RNAcentral's name for it is "bacterial SSU rRNA". It matches the Rfam family "Bacterial small subunit ribosomal RNA", at positions 28 to 507 of the family's 1533-position model. The record is from RNAcentral.
GAUGAACGCUAGCUACAGGCUUAACACAUGCAAGUCGAGGGGAAACGACAGGGAGUGCUUGCACACUCUGGGCGUCGACCGGCGCACGGGUGAGUAACGCGUAUCCAACCUGCCCACCACUUGGGAAUAACCUUGCGAAAGUAAGACUAAUGCCCAAUGACGUUGAAAGAAGACAUCUGAUUUCAACUAAAGAUUUAUCGGUGAUGGAUGGGGAUGCGUCCGAUUAGCUUGUUGGCGGGGUAACGGCCCACCAAGGCAACGAUCAGUAGGGGGUUCUGAGAGGAAGGUCCCCCACAUUGGAACUGAGACACGGUCCAAACUCCUACGGGAGGCAGCAGUGAGGAAUAUUGGUCAAUGGGCGAGAGCCUGAACCAGCCAAGUAGCGUGCAGGACGACGGCCCUAUGGGUUGUAAACUGCUUUUAUAAGGGAAUAAAGUGGGUCUCGUGAGACUUUUUGCAUGUACCUUAUGAAUAAGGACCGGCUAAUUCCGUG